CAAAAAAGGCAAUACAGCGGCAAUAAAUAAAGCAAGAGAGAAAGGUUGGCAGGAAAUUGCUGAUCGUCUCAAUGCCAGCAACUUAAGUGAAGGAAAAAGAACCUGGCAGCAGGUGAAAAUAAAAUAUAAAAAUAUAGUUCAGAAUGCGACCAAAAAGAAGACUGAGGUUGCUGGCACUGGGGGAGGGCCACCACCAGCCAGCUUCACUCCUGCAGAGGAGCUGGCUUUGGAAAUUAAUAAAG
Long non-coding RNA from Xyrauchen texanus (razorback sucker), 242 nucleotides. RefSeq lists it as uncharacterized. The record is from RefSeq and is a predicted model, not a curated record. NCBI's taxonomy places the organism in Eukaryota, Metazoa, Chordata, Actinopteri, Cypriniformes, Catostomidae. The transcript is spliced from 3 exons.